CCUACGGGAGGCAGCAGUGAGGAAUAUUGGUCAAUGGGCGCGAGCCUGAACCAGCCAAGUAGCGUGAAGGAUGACUGCCCUACGGGUUGUAAACUUCUUUUAUAAAGGACUAAAGUGAGGCACGUGUGCCUUUUAGUAUGUACUUUCUGAAUAAGGAUCGGCUAACUCAGUGCCAGCAGGCGCGGGAAUACGGAGGUUCCGUGCGUUAUACGGAUAUUUUGGGGUUAAAGGGUGCGUAGGUGGGUUGUUAAGGCAGUUGGUGAAGUCUGCGGCUCAAACGUAAAGUUGCAAUUGAUACUGGCAGUCUUGAGUACAGUUGAGGUAGGCGGAAUUCGUGGUGUAGCGGUGAAAUGCUUAGAUAUCACGAAGAACUCCGAUUGCGAAGGCAGCUUACUAAGCUUCCACUGACAUUGAUGCUCGAAAGUGUGGGUAUCAAACAGGAUUAGAUACCCUAGUAGUC
This 460-nucleotide ribosomal RNA is filed under the name uncultured bacterium. Its description in RNAcentral is "partial 16S ribosomal RNA". It matches the Rfam family "Bacterial small subunit ribosomal RNA", at positions 338 to 795 of the family's 1533-position model. The record is from RNAcentral.